UACGUAGGGUGCAAGCGUUAGUCGGAAUUACUGGGCGUAAAGCGUGCGCAGGCGGUUUGCUAAGACCGAUGUGAAAUCCCCGGGCUUAACCUGGGAACUGCAUUGGUGACUGGCAAGCUAGAGUGUGGCAGAGGGGGGUAGAAUUCCACGUGUAGCAGUGAAAUGCGUAGAGAUGUGGAGGAAUACCGAUGGCGAAGGCAGCCCCCUGGGCCAACACUGACGCUCAUGCACGAAAGCGUGGGGAGCAAACAGG
This 253-nucleotide ribosomal RNA is filed under the name uncultured bacterium. RNAcentral describes it as "partial 16S ribosomal RNA". It matches the Rfam family "Bacterial small subunit ribosomal RNA", at positions 524 to 776 of the family's 1533-position model. The record is from RNAcentral.